RNAcentral lists this long non-coding RNA (396 nucleotides) under Ovis aries (sheep). RNAcentral's name for it is "lncRNA (ENSOARG00000026096.1)". The record is from RNAcentral. Lineage: Eukaryota; Metazoa; Chordata; Mammalia; Artiodactyla; Bovidae.
GAUAUGAAGAAUAGUUUCCUCUAUUCAAGAAUCACAGAUACUUAAUGAAAGGAAUGGCAAGCAGUCCCAUCCCCCUUGGGCACAGACUCCACUAUGUGGGAACAUGUCAGCCCCAGAUUUGGGUCCGCUGGCCUAUCCAAUGUUUAUUGGUUACUCCAAGAUUUUCAGCUUGCUGUCAGAGGAAACUAGCAUCCAGAACAGAGAGUAAGUGGUUCAAGAAUCCACAGACAAAGCGUUCUUCCUUCCACUCCAAGCAAAACAGUCCACUGCUGCCCCGCUUCUCAUCCAUACCUAAAGCACACUAUGUGCCUCCAACUCGAGCCCUGAUGUUGAAUCUCAGCAGACUCACUGGAAAGGGACAAGAGGAGCUUGGCUCGUAACUCAUGGAUUCCAGCC